Solenopsis invicta (red fire ant) is the source of this 26466-nucleotide long non-coding RNA. RefSeq lists it as uncharacterized. The record is from RefSeq and is a predicted model, not a curated record. NCBI's taxonomy places the organism in Eukaryota, Metazoa, Arthropoda, Insecta, Hymenoptera, Formicidae. The transcript has 3 exons.
CGAGGGAGAAAGAGCGAGAGAGCCGGAGCGUUUGCGUGGGGAACGAUCGCAGCUCGUCAUUCGAAGCCCGCCAACGGACGAGCGAGCAGCCACGGAACGGGACCGCGAUUGAAAGAACCCACGCAAUUUUCGCGAUAAAAGAGAAAGGGAGAUAUAUUAAAAAAAAAGAGGGAGAAAGAGAGAGAGAGAGAGAGAAUCAAGGAGAGUAGCACGCGUCGCGCGCGAUCGGGAUAGCAAGUGAGAGCGCAGAGGGUGAUCGUACGGAAAAGAGAAAAAAGUCGCAGAUAUCGCUUUGCUCGCCGAUCCUCUUCGAGAGCGGAGAUUCCACCACGGGGUUGCGGAUUCGCUCGUCGCGAUACUCGCUCGCUCGCUCGCUCGCUCGGUUCUCGCGUCCGGUUGAGUUUCGCUCGCGUUGCGAUUGGCCGCGGUGUCCGCCGGUGGAAGUUUUCGACAGUAGAAAGGGAAAGAAAGCGAAAGAGUGUGCGUGUGUGUGUGCGUGAGAGAAGGGGAGAGAGAGAGAGAGAGAGAGAGGGGGAGAGAAGGCGAAAUAGUGAGAAGCGUACUGACCGACAAAGUGAAGAGAAGAUCGAAAAGGGCGCGAGAGGUUAAGGGAGUGCCGAUAAAUUAAGUGGUGGAAGAGCCGAAAGCGAAGUUGUUGACAGUGACGAAAAGUGACAUCGCUACACCGCGCAUUUCGCUCCAGGAUAUCGUUGCUCCGAUAAUUGGUUCCCGGAAAAGAAGGAGCUUACGACGGCGCCAAGGUGACGCGUGGAAGAAAAACAGCCGGAGAAAGUGAUCUCGUGAUUUGUUUAUCUUUUGGUUUUGGUGCGCUCUGUGCCUCGGUGAGCUCUGUGUGCGCGAGGAUUUCGGGAAGAAGGUCGAUCGUAUUCGCGUCGAGGGAAGUUGGUUCUUAACGUACACUCCCACGGAGAGCAAGGGGUGCGAUUCCGCGAAUGUCCUUCGUCGAUAGUAUAAACAAGCUCGGUGCAUAUUUUCCUAUAGAAGGAUACACGCGAGUGAGACCCCCGUGCGACACUCGCCUAUCGUCAUUGGUCGUCAUUGGUCCCGCGACCGCACGCGACCAAUAGAAAAGUUUGUAGUUUCGACCGCGAGUCGAAUACGCGUGGAGUCGCGAGAGCCCAUUAGCGGCUAACGUCCGACUAGUCUCAGUUUUCCAACGGACCGCGACGCACGUCUAUCGCGAAGUGAGAAUCGUCUCGCGUGGCUCGUGCCUCCGAUUCCGCAGCAGGCUAAUAAACAUCGGCGCGGGUUUCCCUUCGAAGAAACGAUCGUGGGACAACUAAAUUGAGUGACAAUCGAAACGCGAGAGGGAGAGAAAACGGACGACACGUCGAACAUCUCGUGCGGAGCAAAGUGACAACCAACGUCGGAGUGAAUACAGCCGCAAGGUCGUUCGCGAGUGCUGAUCAGUGCUGACACUCCACAAUACUGCGUGACCCACUCUCGCGCGCGUACGUUCGGUGUUUCUUCUCGCGUAGUGAGAACGGAAGAGAAACGAAACAGACGAAGAGUGAGCGAAAGUGCACGUCGUACGUCGUCGUGCCGUCUCGUGGUUACCGUUGUCGCGUCGCGAUUCCUAGAAUCUCGUCGUCUUUCACGCCGUUUCUCCGCCCCGUCCGUUUCGCGAGCGUGUACGACGUCGUCGUGACGCCGUCGUGAGCCGUGAUUAUCCCGCGCGACACGCUCCACGCUCGAUCGACGUGCGACGACCCCCCGCGGUCGAGCCGUCACCGCCGCGAGAGUAGCACUCGGUGCACCUGUGUCCGUUACUCGCGAGCCGAGACGUGCUCCGCGCGCGACAGCACCGCCGCGCUAUUAUCCGUGAGCACCGGCGAUUAUCGGCGCAUCGCGCUCCACCGAUCUUGGUGCACGCUCGCCCACGUCCGAUCCUUCCUCCGAUUUACUUCGGAUUACGCGUCGCGCCAGCGCCAGCGCCAGCGCCAGCGGUACGCUCCGUACGCUCGUGCAGCCGUUUCGGGAAGGAUAAAGCCCCCGGACGGUGCUCACGUGACGAAAGUGCAGACGCUGCCUUCUCGGUCACUUGGAACAAGUGACCGACAGGACAUACCUUUUUCUCCUGGAAGUGUUACGCAAACGGCCUCAAGAUUCAGCUCGACGUCAUGCCGUGGUUCAUUCUAUUUCUCCUGCUGCUUGCCGUGAUGGAGGCCUUCCCUCGGGAGGCCACCUGUUCCCGCCUGCCGGACAUCUACUGGAACUCCACCAAUCCAAUGUGAGUCCACUUCAUGCAUAUUUUAGUCGACGAUGGUUCCGCGUACGUAGCCCAACACCAAUAAGCACGGGUUUGAUGAGUGAGUCCAUAAAAAAGAGAUUCGUGAUCAUUAAUUUUAAGCGUCUUUUUUACGACCGGUACGAAAAAUUACGGAAGUAAAGCGGCCCAGCGCUUUUACGAAAUUUUAUCGAACCAUUAUGCACCCCAAUUAAAUGUCCUUUAUCAGCGCGCUCGCAAUUUGCAUGAUUGAAUGAUUUUAAAUUGCGGAAGGGUGCGACGCUCUCAUAUAAAAUUAGUAAUAACGGUAUAAUUAAUUUACGACGGACUUGUAUGCUCCGUUUUAUAAUGUGGUACUAUUGUACCGAUCCCGUUUGAAUCUUGAUUUUCGGCGUUGCUGGGCCGUCUUCGGCAUUUCGGCAAUCUCUGCCAAAUUAAUGAGGUAAUUCUAUAUUAGGCAGCAUUGUGCGUUGGAUGUGUAGGAACUCAUUUUGGUCAAAUUGUAGCGCGCGAUAGUCCAUUCCGCGCACGCACACAACGUGACCGGGAUAGUGCAUCGAUGCACGCAGCAGGGUGAUGCAUCUUUGCAUUGACCAGCUCUGCAUAUGUAUAUGUUCGUUCGUAAGACGCGUUUAGCGACGCGUCGAUGAGCCUCCGCGCUUUUCGCACCGUCAGAGUACGCUUCAUCUUCCGUUUAAUCGACGGUAUUUGACCAAGCAGCGGCGUCGAGCCUUUCUCGAGUAAUUAACGGGGCAAUCAGCAGUCCUAAAAAUAUUGCAUUUAAUGAUAGAGUCUCCUUAGAAGUCCGGGCCCGAAACUAUAGAUUACAUUGGGACAAGGUAAUUGGUCAGACCGGUACAGACCGCUGUGUGUGAAAGCAGCUGCGCCAUUAUAAUUGCAGACUACCAUCGUUCAGUGAAGAAAGAAUGCUGGAGUAAUUCGCUCAUCGACGCAAUCUCUUAUUUUUGCUAGCGAUGGCCUUCACCCCGGCCGGCGCCUUCGUAACGACCCGAUGUUACGACGCUAAGAAUUUCGUCUUCGAGCCUCUCAUGAACCGUGCCUCUUAUAAAAUUCGCGAUAAUUCCCAAGCAUGAAUUUUUCUAUCGUAUGUAAUGAUGCAGAACAAUUAAUUUCCGCGUAAAUACACAUGCAAAAGAAAACUGAUUGCGAUCAGUGUCUGUUGGAAUGAAGUCCAGCGCGAGAAAAACCAUGCGAAGAUGUCGAGUCUAAGUUCCGGGCAAUCGAUCUUCGCUAAUGUUCCUUAGACCGGAAAUGUUCACCUUCGCUCGCCGCGUCCUUAUCGAGCAUCUUCGCCCUGUGUCGUUGAUAGUUAAGACUUGGAUUGAUCUGCGCUUUGCGUUUCGUCGCGUGACGACUCGCGACAAAAUAAUGGACGAACCGGUGGAGAUGAUUGAUAGCGCGGGCAAGCGUAUUUAACCUCAUCGAACCGUCGUAGUACGUACCUUUCCCGCACGCGCGAAUUACAAAUUGCAAAUAAUAAUUAACGAGCGGACGCGUGCAUACAUAUUGAUACAAUCGAUCCUUGUGAAAUUAAUCAACUAGCAACAAAAGAUAUACGGCGCGAUAUUUGCGAUAUUUGGAAGGGGUGGAGGGGGACGCGAAAAAUGGUGAAACCCGUUAUCGUAUAUCGCGAAAAAGCGCGCGAAUGGAAAUGAGGUAGUUAGCAGUACAACUUUCGCGUGUUCCGACUUUUAUUCCCGAUUUUCACGGUCGGCGCGACGCUUCUUGCCCGCGCUUUCGUCGACUGGGAAUUAACACUCCACGCCUGCGUUACUUUUAAUUUUCGACAUAAUCUUUUUCAACCCGCUCUCCGUCCCGUCAUCGUUUUUCUUCCUUUAACGACGCGCGGGCUCGCCGUUCGAACCACGCAUUUGUAAUUGACUCGAUGGUUCGGAACGAAGGUGUCGUCGGAAGAAACGAGCAAAGGCCAAUUAUUCGCUCGGCAAUCUUUUUAAUAUUUUAUUAUAUUGCUUUCGCUUGGAUCGUAACUUUGAAUUGGCUCUGUCGGACUGACAGGAGAUGACUAAGAAAUUCUUUCCGAUGCGAUUGCAUACGUCGGAUGACGUACCGAAGGUGCAUGGCGAGUGUGUGUGAGAGAGAGAGAGAGAGAGAGAGAGAGAGAAAUGGGGGACGCAUUUUUCAGAAUAAUACCAGAUAAACAACGAGCAAGCUUCAGGAUAUAUUAUAUAAGAGAUACCAGCAAACUCAUCCUUUCCUAAUUGGUUUGUCUGAACCAAUAUCUUUUUCCAUCUCUUUCUUUCCAUCUCUUUUUAUACAUCUGCUUUGUAUAGGUAGACGGUUGCUCGUAAACGUUUACUCAUGCUAUAUUUAUAGUCUGCUGGAAAAUUUCUGAUGAUUCAACUUUUAGAGAACGUAUAAACUUCCGAUAUUUGUUUUCUUCGUUACGAUUUUAAGAUAGACUUGCAUAUAUUAUUUAUAUAUUUAUCUCGACUUACUGUAAAUCUCGAUUAAUUAAGAAAAACGAAAACUCAAGUAGAUUUAUUUUUAUUGCUCUAGUGAUAUUGAAAUAUAUCCGCAUGCGUGCGAUAAACUUUUUGUUGUAAUGAUUUUUAUCGAGUGGCGACGCAUUCCGCAUAGAUUAACAUACAGAUAUUUAAUAUUUAGGUUUAUCAGUCAUUCCGAAACUAGUAUUGUCACGUUUUGCAAUAUCGCACGUCUGUGGAUAUAGAAAAUUUUGGCCAUUUGUAAUAUCACGAGAAUGUAAAUCGUAUCGAUGUCUCGUUCGAACGUACUUGGCUUGUCGUCUACAUUUUUCACGCAUGCAUGACGUUGCAACCAUAUCUCACGAUACGAUGGAAAACAGGAUCGUAACGUUCGAUGGUAAAAUCUGUGUCCCGCCGGUAGUACCAAUCAUAGAGUAUCCGCUUGACUGAUCUUGCAUCGUCUCUCAGCUAAGAAUUGAGAAAUAUGACAAGCUGUCGAAAGAAGAAAAUCUAAUGCUAGUAGAUAGAUUGACGAUGAGACUCGGUUAAGUACUAACCUAAUUUCAGAUGAAACUUUGAAAAAUUCCCCAGAAAGUUUUAGUCGUAAAAUAUUUUUAGUCUCUUCACCUCAUAAAUUUUUUCCAGAAAAAAGUAAUAAUGAGAAGUAAUGUACACGCAAAGUAAAUCGCUAGCUCAUUUGUAUAUUUUUUUAUUAUGCAAUACGUCUGUUGUUGCCUGUGUUAGAUACUUAUUACGCACAUUUUUGGUAAUGUGGGGAAAACAAAGUGCGGACAGGGAUUUGAAGUAAAUCGCUGAAAAUAUCCCUUGAGAUUCAUUCUCGCAGAAUCUUCGCAAUUUCACCUGUGAGGCUUGACUCUUGGCAACCUGUGAAAAUCUCGGGAUGUAACGCUUUAAAUGGGGCGCGAGAGUUUAGUACGAUUUAAUCUGGUUAGUUUCGUAGUUCGCAGGAAAGAAGUCCUCGGCUCUUGGGUUAAGUGGUUUAGUUUUACGAAUGGAUGAGAUCCGUAAGAGGCAACACUUAAUUGGAACGUGCUUGUCCUCUCGAGGAAGGAAGCUGCAACCCACGCGGAGAACGACCCUCGUAGAUCUCGCGGAAGCACUCUUGAAAGGGCGACAUUUCGCUUCCGCGCACGAUUCGAACUCCUAAACUGGAUUUCGACUAUCGAGUAACGGGGUAAGAGGUGCUUUUAUAUAAGUUCCGCGUUCGCGCGUGUCAUAUACUCGUACAAUGGACCAGGAAAGAACGAGUUAGCUAGUGGAGAAAGGCUACAAGUAUUACUCACGCAUCCUUGCAAUCGCGCAAAGAUUCUAUUCUAUUCAGUUUCCGUGCCAAAUCCAAGAAACAAAUAGGAUAGGAUAUUAUUUUCCAUACAUCAAUCACACGGCAUAAUGCAGGAUUAUUUAGAGUUAUACGAUAAUAUAUAUAUUUUCCAUUUCGAACGAUAUUACAUUUUGACGUAAUAUAAUGCAUGAACCUUCGUUUAUUCAAAGCUUUUUGCAUUGAUUAUAUCUGCGCAUUACGCCACCGACGGUGGCGUAAAAUUCCUGUGGUAAUUUCUCGCGUUUAUUGCAUUAUCGAUUGCCGGAUUUAAAUGUGUGAAAUAUGAUUUCAAGCAGAGAUGGCUGAAGCACUAAAUGUGAUUAUCGUGCGUGUUUUUGUUUUGUACCAUUGUGCAAAUGUGUCGCGAUAAGAUAAUACGUGUGUAUAUUCAUUAUAUUAACGGUAUCGAUUGCGAAAGAUUCAUGAUUAUUCCGAUAUUAUUUUAUGCCCAAGCCUCAUCUGCUGCACAUGAUACAGCAUUAUUUUGCAUUCAGAACGCCUUCUUCUACGCUUCCCAAAUAAAAUGUAACAAACAAUUUGGAAACAUUAAAUUAAAUUAGAAACCGUAUGAAUGUAAUAAUGGUAAUAACUGUAGAGGAUCUACAUACGUUAUUUUCUUUUAUUGUUAUAAUAAUAAUAACAACAAUAACGAUAUACCGGAAAAUACUAAAACACUUUAGAGACUUGGCAUGCAAAUUGCUAAGUAUUAUUUAAAGUAACGAUGGAUCUAUCUUUAUAUUUAAUUUGAGUAUAUUUGACUUGAGAUGUUGCAAAAUUCCUUAGUCCGCUCGAGAAUCGCAAAGGAUGAAAAUUAUGCUCGCAAAUUUGAACAAAGUAGCAAAAACGCCGCAAAUUAUUGCGCUACGUAUCCCACAUCCCGAGAAGAGAGAUCGCGAAAUAUUCCCGUGGCAUCUGCAUAUGCCCUAGAACAGACCACCCGCCGUCGUCGGUAUCAAUUACCCGUUCGAGCGCGCACCCGGUCUCCGGGCCCCCGUCUACAGCGCGUAUCUCAAAAAGCGGACUGCAACGUAAAACGGAAAGAAAGCCAGGAACGAGUCACGAGAGACGUGCGAGGGGUAGGGUAGGACGAAGCGGGAUAUCAUUUUCCUCGUUUCCUCGGCACACAGGAAAAUAGGCCAGACACAAAGUGCAUGCAACGGUAGGUUACUUCGAUGUAUCUCUCGUAAGCUGAAAAAGCGAAGCACAAGAAAUAGCGAAAAUAAACGAGACGUGUGCUGAUGAGCAGCAAAAAGGGAUCGGGGCGAGCGAAAAAGAAUGGCGCACCCAGUUUCCGAAUGCAAUUAUGUUAGCAAAAUGUAUGAAAGUAUUAAAUAUUCCUUUAAUGUUUCCAUCCGCGCCGAAAAAAAAGGUUUUACAUACGAAAGCGGAAAUCAUUAUACUUGUAGUGUUUAAAAACAAAAUUCUCGAUCUAUCGGACAAAUGAAAAAAGAGUCUUGUUUUCGAUAGUCCAGAAUUAGUUGCAAUAUACAUAAGAAUAUAGAAGAACAUGUAGCGUUAAAUUUUCUUCUCUCUUGUUUCUUCAUCUCGCGGAAAGUCUACGCGUAGCUCAAGACGAUAAAAAGUUAACUUCGUACCACUUGAAUCUUUUGCACAAGUGAAAAGAGAAACGCGAGAAGUUAUGAAAAUAAGAAGAUACUGACCCACUCUUGAUAUCGAGCGUUCUUUCCUUGGCAUAGAUUCGCUUGAUGCACGAGUAGUCAAAGGAUCUAUAAACUUCGGCUGCUUCUCGGAAGGCGAUUCUCUGUGAAUUUACGUGGAACAGGAACAGGUUAGCUCCCGUCCUCCGUCAGCAAGCUAAUAUGUAUCGUUUUCUCGAAAGUUGCCGGGGUUUAAUCUUUCUACUUAGUUCCGGGCUAACGAUAUCAAUGUGCACGCGUAUAACAUCUGCGAAUCUAGAAAGGUUUAUCGUACACGAAUGCGUUUGACGUGAAGAAGAUAGUAUUAAUUUACAUAAUUUUAAUGGAAAAUGCGUUUUCGUGGCAUCCUUUUUAUCGUGGAAUACGGUUCUCGUGGGAUUUCCUCUCGAAACGCAUAAUGGUAGAUGCACUGCUAGUCAAUCGAUGCAUGCAGCCCGGCAGCUUCGCGCGGAACCGACUUUACUCGAAUUUGCAUGCGGAUCCUCCUUCUCCCAGGAUACCCGUUCGCUGGCUGCCCGCAGGUUGCUGCAUCGACUGGUCAACCUAUACUUACUUACGUCAUAAAAUGUUCCGGCAUAAAGGAGAAGAUAGCGAAACCUAUGAUACACGCGCGUGCAACGUUUCUCGAUCGAUGCGCCCGCGGUUGGUAUCAAUUUGCAUUUUGUAAUACUAACUUUUAGAAUCUUUUGCGGCGGUACAAGUUUGCGCUAUGAAAAGAACGUAACUUUACAGACCAGCGGACUGUAAGCGAUGCGAUUUGAAGGCACGCGGAGGAGCGCGAGUGAAACUUUGCUACGUUUAUACUUGAUCCGUUUGUAUUCUUAUUGCGGACGACCGCGACGCACUCGCGUCUUUUCAACAGAUAUUUGGCAAUGAAAAAUAUUUUUUUUCUUAUAUCUCUUAAUUCGUACGCGAGAAUUAUUGUAUGGCAAAUUACUAUACAGAGGCGUGCACAGUCAUUUCGCUCUCUCGAGACCUUAGGCCGUAAACGUACUGUAGCUCGAGGUCGAACGCGUUACCCGAUCGAUUGAUCUAUAGACCUGACGGUAUCGUGGUAACCGCGACUUUAUCUGAAUUUGCGUGCAAACGAGGUUAACCACCGGGUCUUCUCCCACCGUCGAGGCCUUUCCCACCCCGUUUUCUCCGUUGACCGGAGCUCGCCGGGUCGGCUUCGGUUCGACCCGUACUCGCUUGCCCUACACCAUAUAAAGCGCAGCGGUAUAAACGAGAGGAGGGCGAUGGCACACCUACGACAGGAUGAGGCCGGACCGAGACGCGCCAUCUCGAAGGUACGGUCGCCGGCCAAACUCUCUCUCUCUCUCUUUUUUUCGUCUGGUUUCCUUCUCGCUGGGGCCAUUCCUUACUGGGACAUUUUUAUGACCGACAUUUUCGCCGUCGUCGACCUCGUCGCCACCCCGCCCGCUUCGUGCAAUCCUCGACGAAAAAAAGAAUCUCGCCUUGGGUGAAUCCCUCCGCGGCGCGGCGCAAACAGAAGCCGGCAGGAAGCGAUUAUUUAUAACGGUGCGAUCCUUUAACUCGCACAGAGAAACCACGUGCACGAGCCCGCGCGGUGCUGCUGUCUUUUUGUUGCGCGCCGGCCGGCGCCGCGGAGGGACACUGGUAUACCUAUAAUAAUAUCGCCGGGAUCGUCCGCGGCGACGUGUCGAAUGUAUGUACGCGGGCGCAUGUUGCAAAGAAACGGUAAUCGAUACGGCGCCUGCGAGAAAUGUGGGCGUUACUAACAUUACACACUGUCGCGCGAUGCUGGCGUGAUAAACCAUUGAUAAGAAGCAGCGGUGUUUUAUGCGUACAAGUAUUAUUUUCACAUAUUUAGUUUAGAGUAAAACGAAAGCAGCCGCGGUUUCAUGAAUAAGUUUCAUCGCAUAAGAUAAGGAACAUUGAGUAAAGUCAAAUUAAACGGUUAAUACGGCUUGUUGGAAAGAUAUUUAAUGGAACAACAUAUUUUUUUCUGAGGGCUAUCACCUUGCGAAUGAUCACGUUCUACAAAUCAAUAGUCCUUUCGACGAACGAACAGGUAGGUAGGUCCUCCUCGAUUUGUGAGUCUGAUCUUUGAUCAAGAAAUCGAUCUCGACUCAUUAUACCGCCGGUCCUUCUCAUUAUCGUGCACACAUUUGUUACUUUGUUGUGAGAAAUGAAACGGCGGGGUCUCUGCCCACGAGCUUGCACGCGGCUGCACGUUUUAAGGACUUGGAGUCACGCGACGUUUUAUCGAAUGCAAUAACGAGUUAUUUAUCCCCUUUCUGUGUCUGCCGCCAAUUUCGGAAUUAAAUCAUGCUCAGGCCGACAUUAUCUAAUUACGUUCGAAUAAGACGAUCCGAUUUCACGCAAUUUAUCUAUCAAUACUUUAUCGAGAAAUAUAGUAAAGUAUUAAAGAUGAAUUAUUAUGUGUAUAAUAUAUAAAUGUAAAACAAAAACGAAUGAUAAAGCACAAAGCGCAGAAAGGAGAAAUACAAGUCGUUAUUGUCUGUAUAAAAAUAAUAUCUAGAUAUUCAUAAUGAAGCCAAUUGUUAUCAGCCAGAUGUAUUUUAACGUAACAAGCGCAACAGCUAGACCAGCGAGAUGCGGCGACCUUUACCGAGAGACUAUUGCGGAAUUUCAUUGAGCGCGAAAAACGCAUCGCGCCGUGGCCGACGCGGCGCGACGUGGCGGACAAAAAAUCUUUAGCCCGAUGAAGCGCGGGUGCCCGAUAGCAGCAGCCGCGUGGAACGCGAAUGCGCGAGAAGGGAAAGAGUGCUAAUACCUAAAUAAUUGCCGGCUGAACCUGAUAUGAUUUAAUAGCGUUCUUUGUAAAGGGGAGGUUUGGGUGGCACGCGAGGGUGGAGUAUGGCGGAAUGUUGGGUGCAGAUGAUGCUGCGGUGCGGUUGGGCUCUCUCUCUCUCUCUCUCUCUCACGUGGCUCGCCAAAAAAGAAAGCCAACCGUGGCCGUUCGUGGGCGAUAAACGCGGCCGCGGUCACGAGCGACGCCGAAAAUCCUCCUUCCUCCUAGUUAUCGUUGCUCUCGGCGCCGCGCCGUUUCCACGAAUGCUAGCGAAUGCGCCACGUGUUAGCCUGCGGUCACCUGGAAUCACCUGCGCAAUUUGUGUUUUAUUAUCCUCAAGUUGGCACUGUACGCGAUCGCGUACGAAAAUUGCCGACAUUGCCCGGCAGUAAUGUUCGCUUUUACGGUUUUUCAAUGCGCCGCGGGACAAACUGCGAUAUAUCACAGAUCGCCUAAAAGCGAUAAUCGUCAUUCGUAUGACUCUCGAAAAUGUUCAGUUCUAGUUCUUUUUCAAAACCAAAAGUUACGAUCGAUUGUAAGAAGACAAACGCAUAUUAUUAAUGUUCCUUCUUCUUCCUCUCCCUCGCAGGGCUUUGGAAUCCCGGAUCGAAGAAAUAAAAGUGGUUUAAAAAGUCACAAGUUUAUGAAAUUUCGUGACAGACUCUAGUUGCUGUACGGAUCAUUUCCGACCUCUUUCUAUUGUUAUAUUGCAUUAGUUUAUUAGAUAACGUCGCCGUCGUGAUAUCGUUAAGGUAAUCAAGUUGAAGACGUCUCGGCUUACGUUAGAUACACCACGCCAAUGUCUGACAGCUACGACGUACUAACCAUGAUGCAUGCAUGCGUGAAUAUGAUAUACCUUAUACGACGGAACUCGCGGAGAUAGAGCGUGAAGAUGUAUAUCUCCCGGCAGUCACGCUUUAUUUGAAAUAUUCACCAUUUUCGUAAAUAACGUGUAUCUACGUGCUAACGUAAGACGUAUCGUAUGGCGACUUGUAAGUGGUAUUGCUAUGUUAUAUAAUCAGCAUCGAUUAAAUAUAUUAAGCAUAGAUAAAAAUUUCUCUAUUUUCGCUUGUUCAAUUUUGUUUGCAUACUCUUCACUCACAUUAUUAUUCUUUUUUUUUUUUUGUUAUUUUUGUAUGCUAUUUUUUUCUAUGUUAUUCUGUUUGUUCUUAAAAAACUUGCUAUAGAGCACUAGUAAACUCUCUUUCUGUCUCUUUGUUUAAGUGACGAUUAUUACGAUCUACUUUCCUAUGCACGAAUAAAAUAUCCGCAUGCAUCUCUUAAUUUCUCACAAAUUCAGAAUCCAAAUGUUCAUUUUCUCAACGUGUGCAAAUAUAAUCAAGAUUAGAUUAGUACGCCGAGGCAACCAUCGCUGCUUUCGCAAGAUCGUUGUUUUUCUUAUGAAUGUCUAUAAAAUCCCAAUUUCUCUCGCGUUUAAGUAGCGAAGUUUCUCGGAGUUCAUUUCGUUCACGGAGAAAGGACGGCUUUUCGCUUGCCUGAGCCAAAGUAGCUGGCUUUUGUGCUCGAGAGCUACUGUAGGAUAGUCGCGAAUGUUUACUCGAGGUAUCCGACGGUUCGACGGCAAUAUCAAAGCAACCGCGACGACGUUUGUUGAGCGCGACGAUAUUUCGAUUGUUUUUAACGACAAAACCAUCGUUACAUUGCUUAUUUAAUUUAAGAAACGGUGUGUGUGAGAGUGUACAUACACAUACGUAUAUGUAAAUUAAAGGAUAAGUUCCACUCUAUUUCUUUUUCAUUGUCUAUGGAUUUCAAAGAGAGAGAGAGAGAGAGAGAGAGAGAGAGAGAGAGAGAGAGAGAUCUUUCUCAUUUUCCACAAACACACACAUAUUUUGGAACAUUUACGAUGCGAAACACGUAAAAGUUUCAUUCCUAUAAUUAAGAGGAUAGAAAAGGCGAUAAGUAUGGAGAAAGAGACUAGUGAAGGAGAGAGAAGAGGCAUCCACUAGAAGUACACAGAUCACAGAAAGAGACUGAAUAAAUUCGAUUUGUUGGAUUCAGAAUUACUAAAUACUCUCCACGGUAAGACAAUGGAAAAUCUCGAGUAUUACAAAGUAAUAAUACCAAAUAACGAGUACCAGUACGAUAGUUCCUGCUGCACGAGGGAAAGGAAGAGCGCAGUCUAGUAUAAACAUCUCGUCUAUCUAGAGAGGACGAGACGAUUUGUGUACGGCAUCCUAAACCCAGCAUUACUGAUUUCGUCUCGUCGUUUCCUAUUGUGUAAAUUACUUCGAAAGCAUUCGCCUUUCUCGUAAUCUCUCGUGUAUACUUCAACAUAGAUAGUUUCUUGCUAAUUCGUGCUAAUUUUGAAGAUACGAAGCGUGUAAUUUUGCACGUUUUGAUCGUGAUAAUUAUCAGUUAAUUUAUUUUUUCUUUCACGUUUGAAUCAUAAAUCAGCAAUAGUCUCUUCUCGAACGGCAAACAAAUUUACGUCGGCUCAAGAUUGAUCAAUUAAAUUGAAUUUAAUUUGCAUAUAAUUUUUACUUCAUGCGUGACGUAUUUUUCACAGAGCGACUAUUUUCUUCGUUUUAUAUUCUUUUAAGCGAUUUUUAAUGGAUCAGUAACACGAGCUUUGUAACGUACGGUUGAGAAUAUAAUCACGUAGAUGAAAUAAAUCGGUCAGAUGUAAAUACAGUCAUUUCUCAUUACGAACGGAUCGUUUGCUACAUCGUUGAUAAUUUUCAUGCAGAUUGGCCGUAGAUUGUUACUUGGCGGAUUGUAAUCUGUUAACGGAUAAAAUGCUCGUAGAGAAUUAUAUGCUGACGGGGAAGAAAGUCGCUAAUGGUAGCAAUGAAAAGCGCGGUUCCUUCUGCAUCUCGUAAAUCGUUGAUUUCGUUUCUGCCGACGCAUGCAUAUGCAAAGAGAUGCAAAAUUUACCGAGUGCAGAAACGCGUUGGCAGAUCCUUCUAACAGUCGCGGCGCAUGCGGUAGUAGCGAUACGCAAACGAUCUGCUCUCGGCUCGAUUUUCGAGAUACAGCUAUAUAAACUGCUGUAUAUCACAUUAGAUCUUAUUGCCUUAAGUAUACCUACAUGGCGUAAACGUCGCCGCAUGAUGUUAUGACAUUAAGCGCCACCCACCGUCUUCUCACAUCCGCGCUAAGCCCCGUUGAAUAUCCGGCAAUCAAAGCCAACGAACUAGCGCAAUAUAUCUUCCCUCGGUUACUCUAAUAUCCUGUCCUUCUAUUUUCGUUUCUGCUUAUUUUUAUUUUGUUGGCGCCAUGCAGGAUGUUGCUGUCAAUAAACUGGAUUCCCACAUCGUUUAAUUUGAAAUUUAUUAAGGGCAACUAAAAAAAGAUUUUAUUGCAAAUCAUAUUUUUUUCACAUAUUUUUAUUCUAUCGACAGCUAUCGAAACCGAUGUCGUAGUACUUAUAGAAAUUGAUUUAAUAUUACGUAUUCUGUCAGCACAAUGAAUUUUUAGCCGUACAAUCUUUUUGGAUUAUUUAUUAUAGCAAAUAUACGAAUCGAUAUGCAAUCCGGAAAAUAGCGCGAAUGAUUCCUUCUUUUCAACAUAGGCAAAGUUCUAUAGCAUCGAGAGUUUUCCGUUUGCUAUCGGAAAAACUCAUUUUACCAAGAAAGGUUGACCUUCAGAGAGCAUGGUCGAUACUCGAGAAACAUCAAAGGGAGCUGUAUCCCGAUUGGGGUGAAAGAGUCGUACGCGCGGAAACGCGAGAGAAAAGCAUCGUUUAGCGAUGAGAGACGACAACCUACAGGGACAAGUCCGUGUUUCCCCGUGAUUUCCAGGAAAUAGGUAUCACCAAAUAAAUAUCGUCGUCUACCUGUGUCACACGAUAAGAAGACGAUCGUGCCGAGUGGAGAGAAUCGACCUAUUUCGCCUUUUAUUUUCUUUACACCUCGUUUCGUCGCUUCUCUUUCUCUUCUGUCGGUCUUCUCUAUUUUUGUACAUUUUAUUAAUGGCCAUUUAUUCUGGCCGGUUGAAGUUUACAACUCGAAACUGCACGACGACGAUGACGUGGAUAGAGCGUGGAUAGAGUCCAUCCGUUCGCGACGUAUGGAGAUUCGAACUUGUGUACCUAUUGCGCUAGAGUCGUCGAGAUGGAGUCGAACGCUCCCGUAUUUCAUUGAGGUACCAAUUGAGUUCCGGGUUUCCGCUCUGAUCUUUACCGUUUCGAUCUCGUCUCCUGAAUCCUACAAACGUCGCAGCUCGCUCUGCACUCGUACAACGCGGACGUACACGCUCCCUAAUUGCGUAGUUACGUAACGAGCCUGUAAUCCACCUCUCGACCGGCUUUACUUUCGAAAGACGAUGGCGCCGCGGCGCUAAUCUCAAAUUGCUAAUUCCGGCUGGCUAAUUCAAUUAAGAGAAUGGUUCCGCGCGGCAUCUGAAAGGCGGUCUAAAGAUUGCGGUAGGAAGACGAGGCGUUUCUAAAGGGCCACGCGGUAACGUUUUCUUGGUCGUGUACGUUUAGAGGAGGGUAUAAUGGUAACGUAACUAACUACUUAUCGCUGCUACGCGAGACUGCUUCGGACCGGACAGAGGAGAAUCGACCUGGCGGUUCUCGAGGUAACUACUGACUAAAAGGCACCGGCUCGCUUCGGUGCCUACACGUUCGAAUCAUCGGCACUUGAUAGGAACCACUAGCGGAACGAGAGAAUGAUGGGCUAUGUGGUCCGAGCAGGAUGUACGCGGGAUGCAAAGUAGAAUGAGUUCGAGACGGCGAUCCAUGAAGAGAAACGGCGCGGCGCGGUGCGGCGGCGACGGCCGACUCGCCAAAGUAAAGUUGCCAAAUUCAUCGUUUGUUUGCCCAUCGAUUCGUUCAUGUCGGAAACUGAACAAACUCGAAGAUGCUUGGUCUACAAUUAGUUGAAGAAAAUUGCAUUGUCCGCGAUAUUACUGCGAUUUUCAAUUAGCGGAUAAAUUGCGGAAGCAAAUGUAUCUAAAUUUUAACUACAUUGUGGAAGGAAAAUAAUAUUAAAUGCUUAAAUAAGAUUUAAUGAGUGAAUUUUGUUGAUUUGUGGCAUUACUUGAAAACUGUGACUUUAUAUAAGAAAUGCUUUUUAUUCGAAUAUAGAGAUACUAGAAGAAAAGUGAAUCUUACUGACAAUAGGAUUGCAGUUGUUAAUCACAUUAACUAUCGGAAUGACGAUUCGCUUCCGUCGUUUUACUUUCAAUCGCACUUUAAUCUCAACUUUUGAUCAACAAAAUCAGGACAAUAGAAUUGAUAUUUAAAAGUCGUAAUUUAUCGGUUCGUCUCACGUCUGAACGAAUGCCAAUGUUAAAGAAUUGUCGGCGGAAUCGAUGCUAACGACAUUAAAAUACCGGACAACCGAUUCUCAUUAAAAAGUUUCGAUUAAAAUGAAUCCUUUUAGCGUAAGAGUUGCAUCUUCGUCUACUAAGGUCCUAACCAUCUCCCUUCAAAAUGGGCUCGGCCGCGCUCGCCCUUACGUCGAGCCUGACAAAAAAUCUAAUUAGAAGUGGAUUAAAAUUUAAUCACUCGCUAAAGGAACUUAUCCUGGGCGCUAUCGGUGGGUGGUGUCCUCUUCAUUUAAUUGUAGCUCAGUUGCUUUACUCCCCCGUCCUUUCCGGUUUCGCCGUAUCCCUCGAUUAUACCAGACUUUGUUUUUUUUUCUUCUCCUCCUCGCACUUUUUCGUGCCACGAUCGAGCUUCGCCGGGCAACAAUUUACUUUGCAUAGACAUUAAACCCUGUUACUUAAUCGAGCUACCGUCGUCGUCCCGCCUUAAGCGCCAUGGAUGGCAACACUUUCUUGCGUGGGCGGAAUCUAAAGGCUCCCGACUGAACCCAUCCUCCAACGUAAUCCUCUUUUGACCGGUCGCGUUGCAACACGAUGCGUACGUGUGCGAAAAAAGAGGAAUUUACUUUGCAAAUUUACCGUGUACGAUUCGAAGUGGACGCGUUUGUGUAUGGCCCUAUCGUGUUUCAUUGCCAUUUAGCCCCGUUUGACGAGUGGCUCGUUUUGAUUUUCUGCGAAUCGAGGCAGAAAGUAUUGAAUGCCGAAGUUGGUUAUCAAUAAUACACCACGCUUCGCUAAUUUUCGCUCACUGCGCACCAACAUCGUAUUUUUUUUAUUUUUUAUGUUCGUCUGACUGCGUUCACUGAUAGUCAAUAAUUGGUGUCGGUAAUAUUACUGAGAUUUUUACAUUUACGUAUGUACGAAUAUCGAAAAAAGGGGUAUCCUUAUUUAAAAGACAAAUUACCACUUAUGCCUUACAUUGUAACAAUGAUAAUGUUUUUAUAAUGGACGUUUUUAAUUAUUUAUUGACAAGCUUUUAAUUUUACAUAUAAUUAAUUUUUAAUAUCUUUUUUAAAUAUAUAUUUUUUAAAUAUCUUUUGUUUUCCAAACAGAAAAUGCACUUUAUUGAAUCUCUAUAAAAAUCGUUCACCCAUUUCCGGAAAUAACACUUUGUGAUUAGUCGAGUGUCGACAAAACAGACACGUACGACUAAUUUAUGGAACGCUUGAUUAUAAUAUCUUGACUAUCGACCUGUUAUUUUACCUCGUUGAACUUCAUAAUACAAAUUAUUAUAAUUGCAUAGCGUGGUCACUACGUCUUGCCACAAUGUGUGUCACAGAAUCGGCGGUAUAGUGUGCUAUUUCUUGUGAGAAAAUUCGAUUUAAUCACCCCCCUCUCAUUUGAUAACCUAUCGCUCGCGCAAUUCACAACCUGCAUGGGCCCACGUGCGCACGUAAAGUUUCUUAGGCAACUAGGUCACUCUUCAGGACGACGCAUCAGCGCCGAUGUUUCUGUACGGGAAUCUCAUCUCAUCGGCGCUCACUUCCACCGGAUAACGAGAGAGUAAUUGAGGAGAAGAUUAGAUUUUGCUGCGGGGCUGGGCGGGUGCGCGUAUUCAACUCGGAGACUCACGCGUUAUACAAGCUAUCAGUAAAAAGAUGACCUCGUUACACUGUCGCUCCGUUAAGCAGAUAUGGUCCGCAGUAACGGGUUACAGUCGCGUGUCGUAAGUGGAACUUUCGGCGUGGCCGGUUACCGUUUAACCGUCGCCAACCCCUAUACCGGAUUCCUCACGGGGAAAUUCUCUCUGGUAUAUAGGAAGGGAUGAGAGCCUGACUCUCAACCUCCGCCAUCAAAGAUUCAGUUGCUCUCGCACGCACCUCUGCGGCUUGCCCACGACCUCACGCCGACCCCAAAUCCUGACCCCCUCGUUCGUAUCUCGCGACUAAGCUCGACGUAACCGCCAUGCGCUAUUAUACCGCUGUCGCCGUAUCGACCUCGGCGCUUCCUGAUCUCAUCUUCCUCGCACCUAUUAAUUUCGUAGCCGCGAUAAUGCUCACGCGAUAUCGUGUAAAACCAUUGCGUAACGUUCUCGCCAAAUCGUUUUCAUGUUUUAAUUCGCCACUGCUGUUUUUAGUGCGGUAUAAAAUUUAUAUUUUAAUAUUGUACGAGAGGCAUAAUAUCCUAUUUCACGCUUGCACCAGCAUUUGUUAAAUAUAAAUGCACUUUUUAAUAUUAUUGCAUGAUUGAGUGCUUUGGAAUUGUCGAGUUACGGAAUCGUUAAUUAUGCCUUUCGACGUCUGGUGUUAUAAUAAUAUUUUGCAUUGUUCUUACAUAUUUGUCUAAAAAAAAUUGUUUAUGAUUAGUAGGAAUAAAUUAAUUACUUAGAGAGAGAGAGAGAGAGAGAGAGAGAACAUGAUAACGGAAAUUCUUGCAUGUUAACGUAAAAUGAUAUUGUCUUUAAAAUGAAACGUUCACAGACGUUUCCUAAUCCGGGCAUAAGCGGAGCUUGUCGUGUCAUGAUAAUCCCAUGGAACGAUAGAGGGUGCGAACUCCCCGAAGUUGAAUAUACAAGGAAGGGUAAUUAAUUGACAAGCCUUAUACGUCAACCGCAUGUUCACUAAUCCACCCGCUGUCAACUCUGAAAGCUUCUUAAGGAGAUUUUUCUGUAAACUUUAUUCAUCGCCAAAAUUAAUUCGCUACGUGUAAGAUCUUGUUAUUAAAAUAUUACAAUCGUAAUAAUGUAAUGUAUGAAAAGACAAUAACUAAUUAAUCGUGUAGUACAAGUGCAAAAAACGAUAUGCCUGUAACGAUUGCUCUUUUCAAAGUAAUAUUUUUUUUCUGUCGCACUACGAUUUAACAAGAUUGAUGAUGAGCAUGAGUUUUACAAUUACGUUGACUUUCAACAUAUUCGCCCCGACGUCUUGCUGAGCGGAAGAACGAAAACGGCCAAGUUCGUGGCGUGGGUGGUCGACAAGGAAGCCGCGAAUUCGAGGCGCGAAUACAUCACUGAGAUCCUGUGCGUGUAAACAGCCUGCAGCCUGCAGCGGAUCGCGAAUUAACUCUCUCUCUCUCCUGGAGAUACUCGGAGCCACCGUUGACUUAUUCUCCCAGAGGGAAUUCUCGAGUAGAAAAACAAGAUUAUCCCUCCUGCGGGAUAUAAAAAAGAAUAUGCCGCCAUCGUUCUUUUGGGACGGUGCCACUGCGGUGCGAUAUCUUUCAGUUACAGAAAGUGAUAGUUCGAUUUCGCGAUAGUUGUUGAAUGAACUAAUAAAAAAGUGCUUCGAUUUAUUCACAUUUCGAUAAUUUAUAUAUGAUAUCAAUAUUUGCUUUUCUCUCUCUCUCUCUCUCUCUCUCUCUCUCUCUCUAUCUAUCUAUCUAUUUUUAAUUUGAUUAAAUCUGUGAAAACUGUAUUCUUUUUUAUUGAGAUUUUCAUAAAAAGAGAUUUCGCGAUAAAUUGGCAAAAAAACGCGUAAAUUGUCGAUCGAUGAAACUGAACAACACGCGUUCUGCCUAUGAAUGGAAUACAAAACUCGGCGUGCGAAACAAACACCGUGCGUGGCGUUUCGAUGCCACGUAAAAAAUAAUACAUACUCAUAAAACAUUGCGCACAUCGUUAAAAGCGCGCCAAAGCCAUUUGGAAAUUUAAAGUCCGUGCCGGAGCUCGAAUAAUUGGCAAUGAAAAAGAAGUUUUGCCACAUCGAAAAAAAUGGUGUCUGCUGCCAAUUAGAAAUUUAAUUACGACUCACCGUUCACACACGAUCCAUGGUGCAGCACGUUGAGUCACGCGAAAGCAACAUUUGCAAGUUGCUUCGUUGCGCAAAUCAAUUUUAGUACUCAAUUUUUCACGAUAAUUGUAAAACGCAUAAACGGCUAUUACGUUUUAUAAUGUUGUAGCUAUUAAAACUUUAAAUUCAAUCGCAAAUUACGUAAAUUUGCUCUGGAAUUUUACGCGGCGCUAUCAAAAUUAAAGAUCUUUGAAGUAGGAAAGAAGAAGUUUGGAAGGAGCGGGGAGAAAUCUCCUUAUGUCAAGAGUAGUUAUGCCGGAAGAAGUCGAAGGCGCGUGGCGCUUAAGUUUUAAGGAGUCAACAUCGGACCUUUUGCCUCCCUCUUCGAUGUUUAUUUAAAAAUCUCGCCGCAGUGAUUCGAUCCGGCAGACCCUGGCGAGAUUCUGUUUGCAAGUUAAUGCAAUGCGCGGACGAGAAUGGAAGGCACGCGAAGACGAUAGGGACGAGGGAAAUAGUUCCGGGAGUGUUUUCUCUAACUACCUGCGACGAAUUAAGGGAAGGCCAGGAGCGAAAUUAAAAGAGUACCCGAGAACUCGAGGGGUUCAGCACGUUCCAAUUAUUUGCGCGAGGCGUAAGAUGUGAGAGCCGACUGAGGAGUCGACAUUUUUUUCUCCGUCUUUCCUUUAUUUCUCCAUUGAACCAGCUUUCGUCGUUUCAUUUUCUUCGUAGCGUUUGCCGAGCGAUGCGGAUGCGCUAUGGGUAGAAGACCGGAGGGAAAGGAUAGAUAGGUAGGGUAGGGAGGGGGAGCGAGCAAAGAGAAUUAUUUGGAUUACUUUUUUGCGCUCGGCUUCGGCGUGCGAUAUCAGGAGAGAAGAGCGAAACGAGGGGACAACGAGAUGUGGAACUCGCGGAACUCAAUACGGCGCAUAAACUACGACGCGAAGGACCGUUGUGGAGUGAGACGAACGGCGGGCAGGAAUUUAAUUUCAUUAGCCAAUGAAUUUCUUAGUAAAUCGCGUGUGAGCCGCCUGAUGUAGGAUCCAGGAUCCGGUGAUAUAGAAACGUGAGGUCGGAAAAGAAAUUAAACGAAGAGAACGGUGGAGGAGAGAGAAGCGCGCUCAGGCAGGAGGUAGAACGGGAGAGAAAGAGGGAGGGGGAAAGAGCUGCAUAGAGAAAGAGAUAGGCGCUGGGAAACGUUCCGGGAAGAGGAUACACAGAGACGGAUAGAAACUCACGAAGCGGAGAACCAGUUCGACAUCGGCGUCGAUCCGUAUUCACGCAAUGUGAAAUACUUGCUUGGUAGGAUACUCCGAGGAGCAGGCGAUUAGGGUAAUGGCUGUGUUGCUAGUUAUUUUUAUUUUGUUACCACGCCGACUUUAUUUUAUUCCCUCGCGAUCCGGCGAAAUUAUAUGGGAACGUGUCACGAAGAGUCUCAUCUCGGAUCGCGGAGGCUUUGCGGUUUGCCGUAAAAAAGUAAGCUAUAAGAAAGGGUGGGACGCGUUUUUCUACGCGUUUUUUCCGGACGCAACCACUUCUGGCCUCAUAGCCGGUUUUCCUCGUUCCGAUCGUUAAAAGUCGAUAUCGAGAGGAAGAAACGCCGGGACGUAAACCCCGGGGUAAGUGCAACGUUAUUCGAGCAUAGAGAACGUCCGGGAGCACCGGCGGCAGUUACACGAGUCAUAUAGCACCGGCGAAAGCGAGAAAACCUCCGCGAUCGUUCCCAGUUCUCUUUCGAGUACCAGAAAACGAGACUUUGAUGGCGGCACAAUUCGAAAACAAUUGUGACAUAAGUUACGUCAAUCUAAGAUGUCUCUUUGCGCCCAACUUUUCAACGCAAAAGUGUCCGCACAAUUUCGUGCCACUCUGCAAUUCUGCGGUGGGAAGCAUUCGUCGAAUUUAUUUCGCCAAAAUUCGAUAUGUUUUAAAGGACAUGAUACGAUUUUUGACAGAUCGAUCGCAGCGGUUUUGUUUUCACCUUCCGGCCGUGAAUGAUCCUGACGUUUCCUCGAACUAAUAUCUACGCGACGGGCAUUGGUUCCUCGCGGAUAAAUGAGAGCGUGUUAGUCAGCAAAGGACCGAGGGUAGCCCCCGGGGGUAAAUGAGUGCGAGCUGGCCACGAGGGUCAGAGGGGGUUACAAACGAUCGAGCGAAUCGCCCGCAUUAGUCUUAGUCAGAAUCAGAGAUAAGCCAAAUGAGGGAUAGCCGCAUGAAAAACAUUGGCCCGUCACCGCGCAACCGGAUUAUUCACCAGCUGCAAACUCAUCUGAAUAAUUUACGUGCCGCUAUGAGGCUUAUUGCGGAUCAAAAAGCAUGAUAAUGCAUAACCAGAUCAAGUAUAAAAUUCGAGUGGAUAGACAAUUACAUCCUUAUUUCGAUUUUGUUUCUAUUUAAUCUUUGUAAUCGUUAAUAUUAUUUUAUGAUUGAUAUAUUUCCAAAUUAGCGCUUACAAGUAAACUUACAAGUAUCGAUAUAAUCGAUAACAUGAACAUUAUUCCAAUAAGAAUCAAUUUAUUGAAAAUCUGGUCGAGUUAUCUUUAUUAUUAUCUUUAUUACAUGUUUAAUAUAAAUUUAUACAAAGGGUAAAAAAAACAUGUGUUUUUCCCUCAAUAAUAUUAUUAAAGAUAAAUUUUUGAAAUAGUUGUGCUUCGUGGCACAACGGUAUGUUGAUUUAAACAUUGCAUUCUCGUGAUAUCACAACUUAUAUUAUCAUUUUAUACAUAAUAAAUCUUAGUAACAUCCGUUUACUCAAGCUUUUUAUCUACGGGAAUAUAUGCGAGGGUAUAAAAAAUCCAUCCAAUACCAUUAUCUAGUGUCACGAAAUAAACGUUGCUGUUAGGAACCGAUGGUAUUUACGAUCUCUACGGUAGAUGAAAUCGGAGAUCUCGUAGAAAGAAAUCUCCGUUGCCACACCGUGGAAUCCACUCCGUGCUGCUUCACCACUCGCGCGAAUGUCGGCUGAAUGUUUCGUGUAAUCUAGGAAAAAAGGCUCCUCAUAAUUCUUUGACCAAAGUUUGUCGGGCGUCUCUUUUCCUUUCGAACGCUACGACGGAUCGACAGUCGACGACUCAUCCAUUCGGGCCACUCCGCAAAUAACGUCAUAAGAUAGACCAUCGGGAACGUUCUUCUACACGUUAUAUACCGGGUGUAUAAAAUAUGGUAGGGAGGCUGGAGACGAUCGUCGUUCUCAUACAAUAACAUCCGCGGAUCUCUUAUGGCGCUAUCCUCGGCGAUCCAGUGGCAAAACCCGGCGAAUGUGGGGGAAGAAAAUGGCGUAGGUGAGCUAUCGGCGAUUCCCGGACAUAAAUCGACAUGUACUUACCGAAUUGCUUCCGAAUCGUUCCUUUAUAUCCCAUGUUCCCCGCAAGUCUGCCCUCGAGCUUUUUCUCUUCGAUCCAUGCUGUUCUCGGAAUUCUGUUAACUCGUUAUAGAAAUGUGAACAGUUGCACAUAUAAAGGGUCUUUUGUAACUGUGUCAAAUAGCAGGCUCAUAUUUUAUUUUUUUAUAAAUUUAAAAUUAAAUUCUUCGUGACGAGAAUUAUAACUAUUUUUUUUUAAUAUCAUUUUAUCAUUCAACAGUACUGAACUAAUUCUAUUGUGAAAAGUAUACAAAUUCAGAUAUAAAAUCAAUAUAAAAUAUUUUAUUUUUAAUAUUCAUAAACAAUAGAUAAAACAUUUGCAUAUCGUUUUUCUUGUAGUAUAGUGAAUUAAAUUACGAAAAUUUUGUUCUUAAUUAUUUUCGAUUUUGAAGAUUUGUUUCUUCUUUACUCAGCUUCUUUACUCUUCCAAAACUAUGAUCUUCGAACGGUUUGUAAAUAUUACACUGGACAAAUAUGGGUUUCAAAUAAAUGUACGACUGUAUUGGUGGCUCACAUUGGUCAAAUAUUGUUGAUCCUGUGUCUACGUUUUCUCAUAUUGUUGAAUUUAUUUGUAAUCAAUCUUGGUUACUAGUGACAAUUUUUAUAAAAAUAUAACAUGAUUUUUUUUAAUUUGUCAAAAUUUAUUUGAAUGUGUGAAGUUUUAAAGUUGUACAAUCUCAAUGCCAUCACUCUGAUGUUCCACGCAUUUCUGUUUCGCCAACCGGUCAUCUCGCGAGCGAACGACGCGCAAAGCUAUUCGGCUGAAAUUACUUUCUCAUCGUCGUCAAAUAAUCGAAUCGCGCAGUUUGGGAACGCUUAGGUUGCUACGGCAGUCAAAGAACUUUUUCGGCAGCGCUGAAACUAUCCGCCGGUUGUUGAGCAUCGAAUACCAGCAUUCGCGAUCGCUUUGCGUGGCGCAGUGAUUGAUUCGUCUCUCGGCUGCGAAACGCAGCCGUUAAACGUACGUACGUGUACACAUACCAUCCCCGAUGCGGCACGGUCGCACGCUCGGGAUUCCAACCCCGUUGAAAUGAAACUUCGCCGCGGCGUCGACAUUCCCCCGGUGCCUUUAUUAAAUUGGAAUUUAAUUGCUCGGCCCCGCCGCUCCAUUACCCCGUAUGUAUCAUGCGCCGAUGCAAAUCAUACGACAGACGCAUGUCGCGUAGGCCGACGCGCAUACCGCGUCGUUUUACACACUGAUUUUUUGCAGUUAAUUCCACGUACUUGGGCGACAGAGCGUCUACAUAUUUACGCACGAUAAUAUAAUUACCUUUAUUAUCUUGGAGUCACAGUAAAUCACGCGCGCGCUUGCGCGCGCAAAUGUAUCAUCCAACUACUCAAUUUCCAAAGUAUCAAAUACAUGAAUGCUGAUUAAGGUCGCGUAAUUUAGAAACUGACGAUCUUUGCAAGUAGUUAAGCAGUAGUUGAGCAAGAAGCCUCACGGCAAGCGCACGAACAUUGAACUCUGCAAGGCGAUAGCGCGUGACUCCCUCUUAUCUUAUCUGGGGACAGGGAUAGGAGAGCCGGCGAGAUCCCAAUGUUUUGCUCGUUCCACAUCAUUUGUGCGGGUAACCAUCGGAAUUAGGAGUCGUGGGAGAGGCAGCGGAGUGGUAGUAGAAAGAAGCGGGCAAUCUCGGUCCGCGUGACAGGCGACUCUCGAAGCUUUCGUUCAUCCUAUCUCUCUACCCUCUUUCAUCAUCCCCCGUAGGAAGAGCAGUACUUCCGUUCAGUCCACCUCCGUAGAUCCUUUUCAAGAAGCGCCGUGAUGAAAAACACCGUGGCGCUGGCGGAGAGGAACUUCCCUCGUCGGCCAGGAGGGAAUUUCAUUAACGACCUUAUCCUACCUACUUAAAAAAACAUAGAAGAUCCCGACGACGGGACCAUGAACGAACUAGGAGAAUGGCUGAGCUCAUGAAGGAGACGGCGCGCACUUAGCCUCAUAGACUUUGAGAGAGCACGGCGAAAGAAAGGAAUUAUAGGUGAAAGACUCCAUCGGGAGGAUGAAGAUCGAGGAUUAGGCAAGAGCGUGGAGCGUAGGUAGUACAUUGAUGAUAGAAGGGACGAGAGACACGGGCAUUCUCAAUUCCGGAUGGUGAAAUGACAGGAGAAUCCUUGGAGAUGGAAACGGAUGAGGAAGAAGAGGGGGGGGAUAGGUGGAGAGUAUCACUCUCGGUGUCUUGGAGCGUAAUCAACGCAGUUGGCUGAACAGUUCGCCGCUGUAACUGCGCGAUCCCUUAGCAACGGCCGAGAGCGAUGCUCGCUGGAACAUCGUAAUGCGGCAGGUUUCUCCUAUCGCUCGGUAUGUCCGCAGUCAAUCUCAGGCACCAUCCGCUCACUGCCGGAGUCGUCGUCUGCGAGUCAAAGUGGCGAAACCCAUCCGUGAUUACCGAACGCGACCACUGAUGCGACUGCCUGACGUUCUCGGCGAACUAUUUCGAACUAACGCGUAUACAGCUCUAGGCGACUUAGUCGACCUAAAUGUCCGCCGGUGUAUGGAGUAUAGGGAAAAUGUAUCUCUGUUAUACUCUAUGUCGUGUACAAUGGGAAUUUUAUUGACCCUGCGACAUCUUAUCGUUUAAACAACUGACUUAAAUUUAGUAGAGUGCUCGUUUACUCUCUAGGGUCUCCGGAUAGCCAGAUCUCGUGAGUCGUAAAGAUGCCAAAGAGACGCUGCAAAUCAAGACGUCAAUUUCCAGGAUUCAUAUAGACGCCCGUGAUGGCGAAACGGUCGCGCACAUGAAUGGAAAUUAAACAGAACGUGAUAUACGAGGUCCUUACGUUCCACCGAGAUAGAUCGUAAAUAGAGAGCUCGCCGUGGAUGGAAGCGGAACGAUCCCACAACGCCGGUGCUUCGGACGCUGCGAAGCGUGUUUCGGAAGGGGGGUGCAAAACGGCAGCCAUCGCCAGUGUGUCCCACGGAAGCGAUGAUUCAUCCCGGAAAAAUUCAGCCUUGCACAUUUUUGACGUCGUUUGCAUCGAGUCACGAUUGAUGACCGCGCAUCUGCCGGUGGAUCGCGCGCUACUGUGCAUGAUCGACGGUCGGCUGCAGUUGAAGAGGAAAGCGGGAUUUGAUAAAGGGCGAGCUUUUUAUUGCGCCAUCCAACGUUGUGAUAUUUCUCAUAGAUGCGUGUUCUGGUCAUUACUGUCACUUCGACCCUCGGCGUAGCUCUUUUGUGGCAAAGUAAGGUCGCGAAUGCCCCAUUUUUUACCCUCGAUCUUAUCCGUUUUCAGAUGAUCUUUUGAGAAUGCGUAUCAAAAAUAUCACUUUUUAUUGAAGACGAAAGUAAUUUAUCUGCUUAAUAACAGAGCUUAUAAAAUAGGCGAUAUCCAACGAAUAACUGGAGAUUUUACGCAGCAAGUGAAAUAUGUCUGUUACGUUAUUAAUCACCUCUUGACGAAUUGAUGCGGUGUUACCUUUUCGAAAAUAUGCGAACGCGCUUAAUGCUGUUCGCGGCUAAAUCCUUUCGCAUAAAGUUGCGAACACCGCUUUGUUACUGUUAUGUAAGUUUAAUCAGCGUUAUUACUUACUCGAGGUAUAAGCUUCUUGUCAUAAUGACUGCGGUCUUAGAUAUCUUAAUGACUCUCUAUUCUCGUGAAUUGUUUUCACGUCACCGUGGCUGCAUUCGGAAGUAAGUCUCCGGCAAGCUGCGAGCGACUUG